CCCUAUGGGGCGCACUCUUUCAAAGCCUGGGAGUAUUGGCACUCCCUCAGGGGCUACGCAGACGUAUUUCAUUAUGCAGGCUAUUCCGGACUUAUCGCAUUCUAUGGGAUCAAAACCACAUGCAUCCAAUAGGUCUUCUAGUAACCUAAAUUGAUCAUAGACGGCAUUAGGAUUCAAUUCAUAGGAAUAAGGUGGACGCCCACGUUUAUUCUUGGAGGGUAAUGAUUUUUUGAUUAAAAUGUUAUUUUUCUCCAAAGCUUCGAGGUUGCCAUAAAUAGUCUCGAUCUUCACAGCCAACCCUUUUGCUUCCAAUUGUACCUUAAUUUUUUCUGCUGUGAGUGGUUCCUUAUGCCAAGAAUUGAAGAUCAUAAGAAUUUCCCGUCUCAGGCCCGUUCUAGUAUCAAGAACUUCUUCAGGAAUGCUGGCUUCUACCAUAUUAAUUGGCUGAAUUGGCGGGGGGGC
This 462-nucleotide ribosomal RNA is filed under the name uncultured prokaryote. Its description in RNAcentral is "partial 16S ribosomal RNA". The record is from RNAcentral.